RNAcentral lists this small nuclear RNA (107 nucleotides) under Erinaceus europaeus (western European hedgehog). Lineage: Eukaryota; Metazoa; Chordata; Mammalia; Eulipotyphla; Erinaceidae. The record is from RNAcentral.
GUGCUCACUUCGGCAACACAUAUACUAAAAUUGGAACGAUACAGAGAAGACUAGCAUGACCCCUGCGCAAGGGUGAUACACAAAUUCGUGAAGCGUUCCAUUUAAAA